RNAcentral lists this ribosomal RNA (301 nucleotides) under uncultured bacterium. RNAcentral's name for it is "partial 16S ribosomal RNA". It matches the Rfam family "Bacterial small subunit ribosomal RNA", at positions 509 to 807 of the family's 1533-position model. The record is from RNAcentral.
CAGCCGCCACGGGAAUACGAAGGGGGCUAGCGUUGCUCGGAAUUACUGGGCGUAAAGGGAGCGUAGGCGGACAUUUAAGUCAGGGGUGAAAUCCCGGGGCUCAACCUCGGAAUUGCCUUUGAUACUGGGUGUCUUGAGUAUGAGAGAGGUAUGUGGAACUCCGAGUGUAGAGGUGAAAUUCGUAGAUAUUCGGAAGAACACCAGUGGCGAAGGCGACAUACUGGCUCAUUACUGACGCUGAGGCUCGAAAGCGUGGGGAGCAAACAGGAUUAGAUACCCCCGUAGUCCCUGUCUCUUAUAC